GGGCUUUAAAAAACCCCGCCGCAGGCGUAUAUUAGGUCUGUCGGGAAACCGACUAUGGCGAUAAACGCCUUGUGGAAUAAGCGUAGUGGACCCGGGGGCAGUGCCCGGCGCCUCCACCAAAUCCCCCGGACGGGCCCGGUCAGGCCGGUCCUCCCGGGGCUUUCAUGGGGGCGAAACAGGAUCGACACGCGUGGUAAAGACUUGGUUUUCGCCCGGCAUGGUACCACCGUUAUCGGGCCGAUCUCAUAAAUGCCAACGACAAUGAGGCAUUUGCAGUUGCCGCUUAAUUGAGGCAACACGGGGUUCGGGGGGCACCUGGCAACAGAAGCCCCCCACU
This 337-nucleotide transfer-messenger RNA is filed under the name Hyphomicrobiales bacterium. It matches the Rfam family "Alphaproteobacteria transfer-messenger RNA". Rfam says of the family: Bacterial tmRNA, also known as 10Sa RNA or SsrA, is named for its dual tRNA and mRNA-like properties. Its role is to liberate the mRNA from a stalled ribosome. The record is from RNAcentral. Lineage: Bacteria; Pseudomonadati; Pseudomonadota; Alphaproteobacteria; Hyphomicrobiales.